CCUACGGGGGGCUGCAGUGAGGAAUAUUGGUCAAUGGCCGUAAGGCUGAACCAGCCAAGUCGCGUGAAGGAAGAAGGAUCUAUGGUUUGUAAACUUCUUUUAUAGGGGAAUAAAGGUAUCCACGUGUGGCUAUUUGCAUGUACCCUAUGAAUAAGCAUCGGCUAACUCCGUGCCAGCAGCCGCGGUAAUACGGAGGAUGCGAGCGUUAUCCGGAUUUAUUGGGUUUAAAGGGUGCGUAGGUUGUUUUUUAAGUCAGCGGUGAAAGUUUGUGGCUCAACCAUAAAAUUGACGUCGAAACUGGAAGACUUGAGUGUGUUUGAGGUAGGCGGAAUGCGUGGUGUAGCGGUGAAAUGCAUAGAUAUCACGCAGAACUCCGAUUGCGAAGGCAGCUUACUAAGCCAUAACUGACACUGAAGCACGAAAGCGUGGGGAUCAAACAGGAUUAGAUACCCCAGUAGUC
This 460-nucleotide ribosomal RNA is filed under the name uncultured bacterium. Its description in RNAcentral is "partial 16S ribosomal RNA". It matches the Rfam family "Bacterial small subunit ribosomal RNA", at positions 338 to 795 of the family's 1533-position model. The record is from RNAcentral.